This 45-nucleotide non-coding RNA is filed under the name Schistosoma margrebowiei. Lineage: Eukaryota; Metazoa; Platyhelminthes; Trematoda; Strigeidida; Schistosomatidae. The record is from RNAcentral.
ACCUUGCUGACGAGUUCCAAGUAGCACGAAACCCGUGUCCAGGAU